This 327-nucleotide ribosomal RNA is filed under the name uncultured eukaryote. RNAcentral's name for it is "partial 18S ribosomal RNA". It matches the Rfam family "Eukaryotic small subunit ribosomal RNA", at positions 1470 to 1796 of the family's 1831-position model. The record is from RNAcentral.
CCCUUAGAUGUUCUCGGCCGCACACGCGCUACACUGAAAGAGGCAACGUGUUUGCCUGAUUCGAAAGAAUUGGGUAACCCCCUAAUCUCUUUCGUGCUGGGGAUUGAGGUUUGCAAUUAUCCUUCAUGAACGAGGAAUUCCCAGUAAGUGCGAGUCAUUAUCUCGCGCUGACUACGUCCCUGCCCUUUGUACACACCGCCCGUCGCUACUACCGAUUGAAUGAUUUAGUGAGGACUUCGGACUGAGUCCAAUGCGGCUUUCGGGCUGCGUUGGUAUUUCGGAAAGAUGUCCAAACUGUAUCAUUUAGAGGAAGUAGAAGUCGUAACA